CCCACCCCCAUAAAGUCAACUAAGCACAGCACUUUCUAUUAACUCAUGGCGGAUGCGGCUGCUUAGUGUUAACUGUAGAUCUGUAGGCAGCCUCCUCUGUGGCCCCACAGCAGACUGGCACGUGGACCAGCAAGGUACCCUCCCACCAGGGCUGAGCUGCUGGGCCACCCGGGUCUGUCCUCUCUGGGGAGGGUGAUGUGACCUCUGUGGCUGAGCAACCUGUCUGCAUGUUUCUGUAGGCAGCAUCAGACAUGGCCCGAGGACACCAGGCUGGGAGGAGACAGGGACAGGGCAUGGCCAGGACACUCAAUUCUUGCUCCAAUUUUCUCAUUAACAAGCCAAGUAACCCCCAGAGAAGUCUCCAGCCCUGGAACCUCGGCUUCCCUUCUUUCCAGGCAGGGCUGGGCAAGACAGGAGCCCACGCUAUAACGUGGGGGACAGAGUCCGGGGCACAUGUGGCCCACCAGGAGUCAGGCUGCACAUGUGGGCUCAGGACCAGGCAGCCCCCUCCCAAAGACAAGUGAGUUUCCCUGUAAGCCCCCGGACACUGCCUGGGCUCGGGCCACCGUCUUCCACCUGAAGCUAGUCUCUCUUACCAGGACCCCCUGGAGAAGCACCUGCAGUGGUCCUUGGGCAGUUACUACAUCAGUGGGACGGUCUCUCUGCUCCCACCCGGUGCCACACACAGAAUUAGGACCCUUUUCCUGCAUCCCUAGCAUUUCUGCCCUCAUUUUACAAAUCUAAAAACAGGGGCUUACAGGAGGAAGGCAGCUUGGUGGGGGCCACAAAGUGUCGACCCCACACUGGACACUGGGAGCCUCACAGAAGAGGGGCGUCGAGGGCCUGCCACGGCUAGGCCCCAGCAUCCCUAGCAGGCAGCCCAACAUCCUUCCCCUAGACCCGCUCAGCACCCCAGAGGCUACUGAUGAGCCAGGGGAGCUCAGCCCAAACAGGAAUUGAGCCCAGGACACUGGACACCCGAAGGUGACACAGAUCUGCUUUAGUCAGAGAGAAGGAUGGCCCAAGCUGGGCAGCCACUGCCCGGAAGUGAGAGACUUGCUGGUCACUAGUGGACAAGAAGCGGACUCCUGUACCCCGGCUGCCCAGGUGCCAGGAAACCCAGUGCGGGCCGACAUGCCACCCACCCACCCACCCACUGUGGGAGUGGACGGCCCUCCCAGACCAGGCCCCUUCCAGAGCAAAGGAGGGCACCUGGGACAGAGGGCUCCCCAGAGCACGGCCUGCGUUCCAGUUCACUGGGGCUUUAAAUGGAAGGAAGGAGCACGCGUCUCCCUGCCAGCGGCCCCUCCUCUGCUCUGAUUCCGCCUCUUCUGUACAGUGAGGAGAGCUGUGGCCUCCGGUGGAACAGGGUACCUGGGGCAGGUUGAAUAAGGCCCGCAGGUGAGAGGCCCUGAGCCUGGACCCUGCAGAAGCGACCUGAAAGGACACAGGUAUCCAGUUAAGGACCUGGGCUUGUCCAGUGGCCCUAAUGCAGCCACAGCUGUCCUCAAGAGGGAAAUCAGACGGAGAGCAGAAAGGCACACAGAGGGAGAGGCCACGGGAAAAGAGGCAGAGACUGUGCGGCCACAAGCCAGGGGACACUGGAGCCACGGGAGCUGGAGGAGGACCUCCCAAGGCUCCGCGUUUCCAGAGGAGGAGCAGCACAGAGGACAGGACCCCGGGCUGCCCGUCACGUUGCGCUCUCCACCUGUCAUCCUGCUGACCUUGGCUUCAGGAGUCACCAAGUCCUGUUAUGCCCAGAAGCCCCCAGCCCACUCCAGAGGCAGGCACUGACCCCUCUGCCCUCAGUGGCUCUGUGAUGCAUCUUCCUGGGUUUGUCCCUCAGCCCCACAGAGACCUGCAGCUCCUGGAGAAGGGUGCACUGCAGCACUGUCCCAGCACUGUGCCAUGCACCUUCCCAAGACACCAUGUUGUGACAGUGGCACUGACAGCCUGAGUCCUGGGAGCCAGCAGGCAGCACUAUGGGUCCUGGGUUGAGGUGGGACAGCUCUAUCCAGCUUUAGAGCAGAGGCCCCCAGAAGCCUGGGCCUGCCACUGGGUGGCGGUUCUCCAGGGUGACGGCUGACCCUCCGUGCCUCCUCAGAGUCCUGGCUUAUAUAUAAUAAGGGCUUUGGCUGCCCACAGCUGUCCUGGAGGCCUCUUGCUGGCCUCCUGCUGGCUCGGUCCCCAGAACUCUGCUCUCUGCCCCACCCCCGCACCAUCUCCCUUAGAGAAGGUGCUCCUCAAGCUACCCCCCACCCCUUCAGUUGUUCACAGCACGGGUAGGAGAAGGGUCAUCCCCAGCUCCCCUGGCGAUAGACCCCCACAUGUAGGAGCCCCCUCCAGGGGAUAGUGCAUCAUCAUCACUUGAAGGGCCUCCGGUGACUUCAAGAACAGGUGGGACAUAUCCCUGCAAUUGCAAGGCUUAAGGCCACUCAGAGGGCAGUCUGAGCAAGGGAGGAAUGUGCCAGAGAGCAGCUGUCCCCAGUACCUGAGACUGCUGGCCACUGCCAAAUCCUCUGUCAUGCCAAAAAGAAGCAGAAUAAAACACAGUCAGCCCUUCAUAGCCACAGGUUCUGUACCCACUGAUUCAACAAACACGGAUUGAGAAUAUACAGACGAGUUGCAUCUUCAGUCAGUCAGUGUUUCAUCAUUGUGACAAAAUCCCCAAAAUAAGCAAGUUAAAAACAUGAAAGGCUUAUUUGAGCUCCUAGUUGCAGGGCAUAGUCACCUGGCCCUGUUGCUUUGGGCCUUUGGCGGCAGAAUGCAACAAGGCAAGAGCCCAGGGUGGAGGAGCUGCUCCCCUCACGGCAGCCAGAGAGCAGGGAGAGAGAAAGGGGCUGGCCCACUACCCCUACAAGAGUGCCUCGGUGACCUGACUUCCUCCACGAAGCCCCUAAAGUUCCCACCAACUGCCAAUAGUGCCACCAGCUGGGGACCAAGCUUUUGAACACAUGGGCCUUUGGGGAUCAUUCAAGAUCCAAACUACAGCACACCUGCACUGGGCAGUACAGACAGUUUUCUUGUCAUCAGUCCCUAAGUAAAACAGUAAAGCCAUUAUUUACAUAG
This is a non-coding RNA of Marmota flaviventris (yellow-bellied marmot), 3069 nucleotides long. NCBI's taxonomy places the organism in Eukaryota, Metazoa, Chordata, Mammalia, Rodentia, Sciuridae. The record is from RefSeq and is a predicted model, not a curated record.